GGCUAACGCUGGCGGCGCGCCUAACACAUGCAAGUCGAACGAACCCUUCGGGGUUAGUGGCCGACGGGUGAGUAACGCGUGGAUAAUGUGCCUCUUUGCUGGGGAUACCGUUCCGAAAGGAACGUUAAUACCGAAUGUGCUUGUUUGGCGGCAUCGUCAAGCAAGUAAACUGUUAGGGUGAAGAGAGCAGUCCGCGUUCUAUCAGCUAGUUGGUGAGGUAACGGCUCACCAAGGCUACGACGGAUAACUGGUCUGAGAGGAUGAUCAGUCACACUGGAACUGAGACACGGUCCAGACUCCUACGGGAGGCAGCAGUGAGGAAUCUUGCACAAUGGGCGAAAGCCGGAUGCAGCGACGCCGCGUGAGGGAUGAAGGCCUUCGGGUUGGAAACCUCUGUCAGUAGGGAAGAAGAAUGACGGUACCUACUGAGGAAGCUGCGGCUAACUACGUG
This 451-nucleotide ribosomal RNA is filed under the name uncultured bacterium. RNAcentral describes it as "partial 16S ribosomal RNA". It matches the Rfam family "Bacterial small subunit ribosomal RNA", at positions 28 to 507 of the family's 1533-position model. The record is from RNAcentral.